CCGGGCAGGCCAAUUAACUUCUCUGAUGAGAAUUUCUCUUCUGUCACGUUGGGAUUCUAACAGCUACAUGGCAUUGGGAGUAGGCAGAGGAUGGAAGUGAGGUGAGAGCAGCUGCCUUGCUUCCCGCUGGGCCUUCCUCCAUUAGCCCUGCAGCCCAGAGACUGCUAGGUUCAGUGAGUUUAGCCCUGAGCCAAUGAUAAACAAAGACCAGGAAGUCUGCUUGGCGGGAGGAGGGAGAAAACAACUCCAGCGCAACCUCACAGGGAAACGCUUUUCUAUUAAUCUUUGAUUUUCGGUGCUAUGAGUUCCUGGCACUUCAGCACUUCAUAAAGAAGCAAUGCUGCAGAAAGAGUGUUGGGGGAUGUGAAGGACUGAGAGACCCGGGCUAUCAUCCCAAUUUCAUCACUGUAAUUUCCAGGUGACCCUGGGCAGGUAAGUCCUUCCUCCCUCUCUGGUCCAUAAUGAUCUUCUGUUGUAAAGUGAGAGGGUGAAAUUUGUUCCCCAAACUUUUUUCAGCUUUCAGCUUUUAGGAGUCUUUGAUUCUUGGAACUGCAGGGAACAAUUUUUGGGAGGAAAACUGCUGAAGUAAAAAGAGGCUGAAUUUCAAGGAUGCUGUUUUUGGAGGAGGAGGAGGACCUAAUUUGUCCUGGGCAGUGGGCAAGGUCCGUAACACAGAGUGUUUCUAGCCCUUAUGUAACAGAGGACUUUGUUGAACCCGUCCAACCAUGAUGAUUUGGAUUGUGCAACUUUGGGUGUAGAACUGAAAUUCUUCACCAAAAUAGAGGGGAGGAAAAACAAUGGUGAAAAGGAUUUUAGGAGAAAUAUUAGCCCAUGAGCCUGGGUCCUGAGUGGAAAGAGGCCACCAAAGAGAAGACUUUGGUGGCUAAAACAGCCAAAGAAGGAACAUUAGAGAAUAGAAAUACUUAAAGUUUGUUCUUUUUUGAAUUGAGAUAGGGAGAAGGAAGGUUGUGCAAUUCAAACGGAUCUUCUUCAUUUCCCCUCUAACAUCUGCAGAAAGUCUAAAAUAGUUCUAUGCACGUGCAUUCUCUGCAGUAACUCAAAGAGCUGAGAGGCUUUACACUGUGAGCCUGGCUUUGCUCAGCACGAAACAGCACAUAAAAGACACAGGGGCCAGAGGAAAGGAGAUCUCCAAUUACUGCACACCUGAGCAACAACCCUGAAAGAGAGCUGGUGUUAUCUCCAGCUCCUCAGGCCAUACUAAAAAAAACACCCCAGAGGUCCCUCACGGACAUUUGAUACAGUGAAGGGCCCCCUCCCCCCUCCCCCUACCCCAAUCAAAUACGUUUACAAUUCUCCUUGAAGAACCGGAACCCUUUUAGGAAGUCAUGGUCUAGGACAGGUUUUAUUCUCCAUUAAAUUCUCCUUUUUAGAAAGAAAAAAAAUCCCUAUGCUAGUGUUUAGAAGCUAACAAACCGCACAUGUUUCUGAUACUUUAUUCUUUCUCUAGGUAACUGAAAAAAAAAAAAUCGUUCUUACCAUGGCAACCUCCGUGCUGGCUCCAGAAAAUGCCAUUUCUUAUUGUGCUUUGGUAUACUGAACGUCAAUGGAACAUUUCUGUAGGGAUCAAUUUUUUAAAGUAAUAAUCCUUUUUAUAUAUGUUAUUUAAUUCCUAUCCUUCAAUGCACCAACAUUAUUAAAUGGCAAAUGAAAAUUGCGCCUUCCCAGUAGAGUGAAUUAAUUCUUAAACAGGGGCUUCCAACAGGUUGAGAGAAUGUGAAUUGGUUUUCUCGCUGGACCCAGAUGAUAUUUCUUCUGUAUUUAUGAAAGCAAGGAGGCUGCUGUCCCCUUGCAGAACCAAGCCACCCAAGCCUCUAAGAGCAUGAAAGCAGCCUGCUAGGAAGGAGAUGGGGUAUAGCAAAAUAAAUGUUAUUACGAAUUUUAGCA
Neofelis nebulosa (Clouded leopard) is the source of this 1905-nucleotide long non-coding RNA. RefSeq lists it as uncharacterized. Lineage: Eukaryota; Metazoa; Chordata; Mammalia; Carnivora; Felidae. The transcript is spliced from 2 exons. The record is from RefSeq and is a predicted model, not a curated record.